AAGAAAGCUGAGCGUUCCGGGGGAAGCAGGUUCAUCCCGUUUCCGGACCGGAGAUGGCGGAGAGCGGAGAACACCGGGACACCGAGAAUAACUGGGUCAUACCAAACACCGAGGGUCUCACACUGGAGACGGUGGGAUUUGACAAUGG
Nanorana parkeri is the source of this 148-nucleotide long non-coding RNA. RefSeq lists it as uncharacterized. The transcript is spliced from 3 exons. The record is from RefSeq and is a predicted model, not a curated record. Lineage: Eukaryota; Metazoa; Chordata; Amphibia; Anura; Dicroglossidae.